Molecule: ribosomal RNA, 401 nt
Filed under: uncultured soil bacterium
Lineage: Bacteria
Description: bacterial SSU rRNA
Rfam family: Bacterial small subunit ribosomal RNA
Source: RNAcentral
AGAACGAACGCUGGCGGCAUGCCUAAUACAUGCAAGUCGAACGAACACUUCGGUGUUAGUGGCGCACGGGUGCGUAACGCGUGGGAAUCUGCCCUUGGGUUCGGAAUAACAGUUGGAAACGACUGCUAAUACCGGAUGAUAUCGAAAGAUCAAAGAUUUAUCGCCCAGGGAUGAGCCCGCGUAGGAUUAGCUAGUUGGUGAGGUAAAGGCUCACCAAGGCGACGAUCCUUAGCUGGUCUGAGAGGAUGAUCAGCCACACUGGGACUGAGACACGGCCCAGACUCCUACGGAGGCAGCAGUAGGGAAUAUUAGGACAAGUGGGCGACAAGCCUGAUCCAGCAAUCGCCGCGUGAGUGAGUGAAGGCGUUUAAGGGUAGUAAAGUCUUACUUUUACCCGAGUA